CGAGGUAGAGCAAAUCUCAAAAAAACAAUCUCAGUUCAGACUGCAGGCUGCAACUCGCCUGCACGAAGUCGGAAUUGCUAGUAAUCGUAGGUCAGCAUACUACGGUGAAUACGUUCCCGGGCCUUGUACACACCGCCCGUCAAACCAUGAGAGUUGGCAACACCCGAAGUCGGUAGUCUAACCGCAAGGAGGACGCCGCCGAAGGUGGGGUUGAUGAUUAGGGUUAAGUCGUAACAAGGUAUC
RNAcentral lists this ribosomal RNA (243 nucleotides) under uncultured bacterium. Its description in RNAcentral is "partial 16S ribosomal RNA". It matches the Rfam family "Bacterial small subunit ribosomal RNA", at positions 1258 to 1500 of the family's 1533-position model. The record is from RNAcentral.